CAUGCAAGUCGAACGAAACUUAGUGAGCCUCGGUUUGCUAAGUUUAGUGGCGCACGGGUGCGUAACGCGUGGGAAUCUACCCCUAGCUGCGGAAUAACUCAGAGAAAUUUGAGCUAAUACCGCAUAAUGUCGCAAGACCAAAGAUUUAUCGGCAAGGGAUGAGCCCGCGUAAGAUUAGCUUGUUGGUGAGGUAAAAGCUCACCAAGGCGACGAUCUUUAGCUGGUCUGAGAGGAUGAUCAGCCACACUGGGACCGAGACACGGCCCAGACUCCUACGGGAGGCAGCAGUGGGGAAUAUUGGACAAUGGGCGCAAGCCUGAUCCAGCAAUGCCGCGUGAGUGAUGAAGGCCCUAGGGUUGUAAAGCUCUUUUACUAGGGAUGAUAAUGACAGUACCUAGAGAAUAAGCUCCGGCUAACUCCGUGCCAGCAGCCGCGGUAAUACGGAGGGAGCUAGCGUUGUUCGGAAUUACUGGGCGUAAAGCGCGCGUAGGCGGCUCGUCAAGUCAGGGGUGAAAGCCCGGGGCUCAACCCCGGAACUGCCUUCGAAACUAGCGAGCUAGAAUCUUGUAGAGGUUAGCGGAAUUCCGAGUGUAGAGGUGA
RNAcentral lists this ribosomal RNA (600 nucleotides) under uncultured Alphaproteobacteria bacterium. RNAcentral's name for it is "bacterial SSU rRNA". It matches the Rfam family "Bacterial small subunit ribosomal RNA", at positions 54 to 684 of the family's 1533-position model. The record is from RNAcentral. Lineage: Bacteria; Pseudomonadati; Pseudomonadota; Alphaproteobacteria.